This 253-nucleotide ribosomal RNA is filed under the name uncultured bacterium. Its description in RNAcentral is "partial 16S ribosomal RNA". It matches the Rfam family "Bacterial small subunit ribosomal RNA", at positions 524 to 776 of the family's 1533-position model. The record is from RNAcentral.
GACAGAGGGUGCAAACGUUGCUCGGAAUCACUGGGCGUAAAGGGCGUGUAGGCGGGAGGGAAAGUCAGAUGUGAAAUCCCCAGGCUCAACCUGGGAACUGCAUUUGAAACUCCCCUUCUUGAGUACCGGAGAGGAAAGUGGAAUUCCUGGUGUAGAGGUGAAAUUCGUAGAUAUUCGGAAGAACACCAGUGGCGAAGGCGGCUCACUGGCCCGGUACUGACGCUGAGGUGCGAAAGCGUGGGGAGCAAACAGG